GGGGAUGUAGCUCAGAUGGUAAAGCGUUCGCUUAGCAUGCGAGAGGUCUGGGGAUCUAUACCCCACUUCUCCA
Transfer RNA from Zostera marina, 73 nucleotides. It matches the Rfam family "tRNA". From Rfam's summary of the family: Transfer RNA (tRNA) molecules are approximately 80 nucleotides in length. NCBI's taxonomy places the organism in Eukaryota, Viridiplantae, Streptophyta, Magnoliopsida, Alismatales, Zosteraceae. The record is from Rfam.